CUCCUCAUCCCUGAGCUCUCCCAGCCCCUUUAGGGGCAGGACCCCUGAGGAUGAACCCUCAUUCUGCCGGCCUCUCGGAUCCCCCUUUCUCUUUUGCUUGCUUGCCCCUCCAAACAGGAAGGCGCCAACAACCCUACCUUGAGUCAGACCUGCGGCAACUAGGCAAGCUGCAGCCGCGAGGUAGAAGCUCUCUCUGACCCUUUUACCUUAACGGUUCGUACCCGCGGGAAAUUAAGUUGGAAAACUGCAAGCGAUUUCCGAUCUACGGCUUCUUCCAGCUCCUCAGAUUUAUCUUACCGUCCCCCCCGCGAAUCCUCCCAAGAUCCCACCGAAAGAUGGAUUCGAAGACUCUCCCCUCCUUCCACUGCUGGAUUCUGGCCCGUGCCCCGUCUCUCUCCACCCCAGCGGCUCCCCGAGUGAUUCCGUAAAGGGCAAAUGAAUUUUGACCAGGAAGACGGUGAGGAAAUUUCAUAAAAGUGAAAUACUAAUUGGAAACUCCUAUCCGCAUUGGUUGAUCUGACAAGUUGUAUAUAGAAACCAGCCUAUAUGGAGAUACGAAUGUCAAAAGAAGUUUUACUGAUGAUAGAAAUAUGAGAUGAUCAUUAUAUAUUCUUCAAGAAAAAAAAUAUGGCAAAGGUUAAUAAAGGUAAUACUGCCAAAAAUAUCCAGAUUGUAUUGAAGAAAAUUGUGAAAAGAAGGACCAGAGUCAAAGUUAUUUUUCUAGGUUAGUACACUUGUUAAAACAUAAUCAUGGCCGGGCAUGG
This 764-nucleotide long non-coding RNA is filed under the name Pongo abelii (Sumatran orangutan). RNAcentral's name for it is "lincRNA". The record is from RNAcentral. Lineage: Eukaryota; Metazoa; Chordata; Mammalia; Primates; Hominidae.